AUGGCUUCUCCUUCCUCCUCCCCAGUCGCCCUCCGCGGCGCCGCCACCUUGGCCGCGCUGCUGGCGGCCGUCUGCCUCCUCCACGCCGGCGGGGCGGCGUUGGCGGCGGCGGACCUGUGCGUGGACUACUACGACUGCACGUGCCCGGACGCGUACAAGAUCGUGCAGGGGGUGCUGGUGCAGGCGCACAAGUCGGACCCUCGCAUCUUCGCCAGCCUGAUCCGGCUCCACUUACACGACUGCUUCGUGCAGGGCUGCGACGGCUCGCUGCUGCUGAACACCUUCAACGGGAUGGAGACGGAGCAGGACGCCAUUCCCAACAAGGGCUCGGCGCGCGGCUACAGCGUCGUCGACGCCGCCAAGGCCGCCCUCGAGGCCGCCUGCCCCGGCGUCGUCUCCUGCGCCGACAUCCUCGCCAUCGCCUCCGAGAUAUCGGUCCAGCUGUCCGGAGGACCCGGGUGGAGCGUCUUGCUGGGGAGGCUGGAUGGCUUCACGUCCAACUUUACCGCAGCCGGGGAACUACCAGGCCCAUUCGACCCCCUCAACACUCUGAAAGAAAAGUACAGAACGGCCACGCUCGACGAUACUACCGACCUCGUCGCUCUCUCUGGCGCCCACACUUUCGGCCGCGUGCAAUGCCAGUUUGUCACCGACAGACUGUACAACUUCAGUGGCACGAACCGGCCUGACCCGACCCUCAACCCAGGCUACAGGGCUUUCUUGUCCCAGCGAUGCCCAAGGAACGGACCCGUGGGUUCCCUGAACGACCUCGACCCGACAACACCCGACAAGUUCGACAAGAACUACUUCACGAACCUCAAGGUGAACCGCGGCUUCCUCUAG
This 843-nucleotide ribosomal RNA is filed under the name Triticum aestivum (bread wheat). Its description in RNAcentral is "partial small subunit ribosomal RNA". The record is from RNAcentral. Lineage: Eukaryota; Viridiplantae; Streptophyta; Magnoliopsida; Poales; Poaceae.